This 446-nucleotide ribosomal RNA is filed under the name uncultured bacterium. Its description in RNAcentral is "bacterial SSU rRNA". It matches the Rfam family "Bacterial small subunit ribosomal RNA", at positions 331 to 794 of the family's 1533-position model. The record is from RNAcentral.
CCAGACUCCUACGGGAGGCAGCAGUGGGGGAUAUUGCACAAUGGGGGAACCCUGAUGCAGCGACGCCGCGUGGGUGAAGGAGUAUUUCGGUAUGUAAAGCCCUAUCAGCAGGGAAGAACAAUGACGGUACCUGACUAAGAAGCACCGGCUAAAUACGUGCCAGCAGCCGCGGUAAUACGUAUGGUGCAAGCGUUAUCCGGAUUUACUGGGUGUAAAGGGAGCGCAGGCGGCGCGUUAAGCCUGGUGUGAAAGCCCGCGGCCCAACCGCGGGACUGCAUUGGGAACUGGCGCGCUGGAGUGCGGGAGGGGCAGGCGGAAUUCCUAGUGUAGCGGUGAAAUGCGUAGAUAUUAGGAGGAACACCGGCGGCGAAGGCGGCCUGCUGGACCGAAACUGACGUUGAGGCUCGAAAGCGUGGGGAGCAAACAGGAUUAGAUACCCGCGUACC